This 460-nucleotide ribosomal RNA is filed under the name uncultured bacterium. RNAcentral describes it as "partial 16S ribosomal RNA". It matches the Rfam family "Bacterial small subunit ribosomal RNA", at positions 338 to 795 of the family's 1533-position model. The record is from RNAcentral.
CCUACGGGCGGCAGCAGUGAGGAAUAUUGGUCAAUGGACGCAAGUCUGAACCAGCCAUGCCGCGUGCGGGACGACGGCUCUACGAGUUGUAAACUGCUUUUGUACCGGGGUAAAAUGCUCUACGAGUAGGGUUUUGCAAGUACGGUGCGAAUAAGGAUCGGCUAACUCCGUGCCAGCAGCCGCGGUAAUACGGAGGAUCCGAGCGUUAUCCGGAUUCAUUGGGUUUAAAGGGUGCGUAGGUUGGUGUAUAAGUUAGCGGUGAAAUACCGAUGCUCAACAUCGGGGCUGCCGUUGAUACUGUAGGACUAGAGAUCGGAUGCAGCAGGCGGAAUGUGUAGUGUAGCGGUGAAAUGCAUAGAUAUUACACAGAACACCGAUUGCGAAGGCAGCUUGCUAGGCCGGAUCUGACACUGAUGCACGAAAGCGUGGGGAUCGAACAGGAUUAGAUACCCGAGUAGUC